GCCUUCUCAGGAUCGCACCUGGAGAGUUUCCAUCCAGUACUCUAUCAGUCUCGGCUACAGGAGGGAGAGUCAAGCAGAGGCAUACCCAUUCCAUUCCUAGCUUGGUCAGUGGCUAAUGAGUGGAAGGCAAUCUGCUACAAGU
Molecule: small nucleolar RNA, 142 nt
Organism: Ornithorhynchus anatinus (platypus)
Lineage: Eukaryota; Metazoa; Chordata; Mammalia; Monotremata; Ornithorhynchidae
Source: RefSeq, a predicted model, not a curated record